Molecule: ribosomal RNA, 484 nt
Filed under: uncultured bacterium
Lineage: Bacteria
Description: partial 16S ribosomal RNA
Rfam family: Bacterial small subunit ribosomal RNA
Source: RNAcentral
AUUGAACGCUGGCGGCACGCUUUACACAUGCAAGUCGAACGGCAGCGCGGGCUUCGGCCUGGCGGCGAGUGGCGAACGGGUGAGUAAUGCAUCGGAACGUGCCCAGUAGUGGGGGAUAGCUCGGCGAAAGCCGGAUUAAUACCGCAUACGACCUGAGGGUGAAAGCGGGGGAUCUUCGGACCUCGCGCUAUUGGAGCGGCCGAUGGCAGAUUAGCUAGUUGGUGGGGUAAAGGCCUACCAAGGCGACGAUCUGUAGCUGGUCUGAGAGGACGACCAGCCACACUGGGACUGAGACACGGCCCAGACUCCUACGGGAGGCAGCAGUGGGGAAUUUUGGACAAUGGGCGAAAGCCUGAUCCAGCAAUGCCGCGUGUGUGAUGAAGGCCUUCGGGUUGUAAAGCACUUUUGGCGGGAACGAAAAGGACUGUGCCAAUACCACGGUUCGAUGACGGUACCCGCAGAAUAAGCACCGGCUAACUACGUG